RNAcentral lists this non-coding RNA (25 nucleotides) under Rattus norvegicus (Norway rat). Lineage: Eukaryota; Metazoa; Chordata; Mammalia; Rodentia; Muridae. The record is from RNAcentral.
UGUCUGGAACUGUCCAUACCCCUGC